Small nuclear RNA from Dipodomys ordii (Ord's kangaroo rat), 107 nucleotides. The record is from Ensembl. Lineage: Eukaryota; Metazoa; Chordata; Mammalia; Rodentia; Heteromyidae.
AUGCUCACAUGGGUGACAUAUAUACUAAAAUUGGAGAAAAAUAGAGACUUUUAACAUGGCCUCUGUGCAAGGAAAACAUGCAAAUUUAUGGAGUGGUCAUUAUUUUU